CUGUUAGUGUACGAUGUUGUUGGUUUAUUAAUACAUGACAUAUAUCAAUAAGAUACUGCUCUGGAUUAAGAGAGGAUUUCAACUGUUGCUCAAUGACAUUCACAAUUUUGGUAUUAAUCUUGCAGCAUGAAGCUCAUUUGUUACUCUCAAUAAAUUACCAGAAACAGCAUCAGACCAGGAUUGAGUUCAACAUCUCCUGAUAAGAGGAGGAGGAGAAAUAAAACCAAACAGUAGAUCAGGUCAGAGCUACUGCCAAUAGUAGCUAUAAACAAGACUAAUGACUGGAGGCAGCGGAUCAUAACAGUAACAGUAAUUAUACCUAUU
Long non-coding RNA from Amphimedon queenslandica, 324 nucleotides. RefSeq lists it as uncharacterized. NCBI's taxonomy places the organism in Eukaryota, Metazoa, Porifera, Demospongiae, Haplosclerida, Niphatidae. The transcript is spliced from 3 exons. The record is from RefSeq and is a predicted model, not a curated record.